This 375-nucleotide ribosomal RNA is filed under the name uncultured organism. RNAcentral describes it as "partial 16S ribosomal RNA". It matches the Rfam family "Bacterial small subunit ribosomal RNA", at positions 526 to 896 of the family's 1533-position model. The record is from RNAcentral.
GUAGGUGGGCAAGCGUUGUCCGGAAUUAUUGGGCGUAAAGCGCGCGCAGGGCGGUCCUUUAAGUCUGAUGUGAAAGCCCACGGCUCAACCGUGGAGGGUCAUUGGAAACUGGGGGACUUGAGUACAGGAGAGGAAAGCGGAAUUCCAAGUGUAGCGGUGAAAUGCGUAGAGAUUUGGAGGAACACCAGUGGCGAAGGCGGCUUUCUGGUCUGUAACUGACGCUGAGGCGCGAAAGCGUGGGGAGCAAACAGGAUUAGAUACCCUGGUAGUCCACGCCGUAAACGAUGAGUGCUAAGUGGUUUAGGGGGUUUCCGCCCCUUAGUGCUGCAGCUAACGCAUUAAGCACUCCGCCUGGGGAGUACGGCCGCAAGGCUG